GCCCGCAUGGCUCAGUGGUAGAGCGUGUCACUAGUAAUGACAAGGUCGUCAGUUCGAUUCUGGCUGUGGGCA
Non-coding RNA from Cladorrhinum samala, 72 nucleotides. The record is from the annotation of a GenBank genome assembly. NCBI's taxonomy places the organism in Eukaryota, Fungi, Ascomycota, Sordariomycetes, Sordariales, Podosporaceae.